AUGAGGCUGAACAAAAACCUGUGUUCAGUAAGGCUCUUCUCUACACUUCAUAAUACAAAAAUGUUCUCAAACGAUAACUGUCUGGUCCUGGGAGAGAAGGACGUGGUCUGGCUUUUGCUGCCUCAUCCAGCUUCUAAGCCAGGAGCCCAACACCAAGGUUGCUGCUGGUGGCACCUUCCAAUUUUUCAGUGUCUCUACUUGCAUCUCUUCUAUCCUUUCUCUCUUUUUUUUUUUUUUAAAUUAAUUUACUCUUUAGUUUUCUUUCCUUCCCUAUGACUUAAAAAGAGUAAAGGAGGCUGGAACAAGCCAACAAGAGCUGUUUGGAGAACCUUCACAAGCCUCAGUCUUUGCAUCUGUGCAAUGGGGUAAGAAUACCAAAUUCAGAAGGUGGUUGAGAGAAUAUGCUAAUAUACGUGACAGCACUUUAUCAGCUUCGACUUAUGGUAGAAGAAAAAGGCAGUCACCACAGCACCAUGGCUGGAAGAGGUAUGCUCUUCUGUAACCGAGUUGACUGCAACCAAGAUGCCAGAGUCUGCUUUCACCACCAAUGUCCGACCAGCAAUUUAUCACUAACGUUUCAAAACGUGGUUACCUGUGAGCUGAUGGAUGCUUGUACAAGAACACGGAGGCCAAUGGACAGAGUCAAAUCAAAAUAACUUUCCGCACCUCUAAUCAUCCUGGAUAAACCAAUGACAGCUACUAAAUUUCCUUAUGCUUCAUUCCACUUCAGGUGACUAUACAGACAAGGAGGUGCUUUUCUUACACACAAGCUAAACAGAGUUAGGUUGAGAAACUGAAAUCAGGGAGACCAAGGAAGAACAGCAUUCGCCCCUACUGGGAAAAGGAGGCUUGCUUCAAGUUCUUAUUUUAACUCACAGAUAGCAAAGCAUUUGACACUUGGCCAGGAGGACACUGAGCAUCAGCUGUGUCUUGUCUCAGCCGUGUGCUGUGCCCUCCAGGGCCCUUUUUUCUCACAGCCAUUUGUGCCCCUAUGUGAGUCCACCCUUCUCAGUGUCUCUGGGACUUGGCCAUUAGCAGAAGUUACUUCUAGUUGAUCAGUAAAUUGUGAUGGUCAUUGUUAGAUGACCUGAGGUGACCCCUCAGGGCAUUUUCCAGAGUCUCCACAUACUUAGCCUCAUGUCUGUCACCCCAGCUUGAGGGGCCCUGGUCCUCCUUUCCCAGGACACGUGGACCCUCCCUCGUUAUGUCACCACACUUUUAUUUCCCUCUGUUCUGAACUAUGUUCCCUCCGUCCUUGGCCUUACAGACAGGCAGUGAGUUCACGAGUUCAAGCCCCACUGUCUCCAACUGCAGCUUAGACAGAAAGGAGACCAUGCUUUCUGGUCCCUCUGCCAGAUGGGAAGCCCUGAAUCCCUGGUUUCCUUCAUCUCCACGUCUCUCCUUAUGAAAUUCUGCCUAAGUCAGAAACACGUUGAUUCUGUCGAUGAAGGAAAGACUUCAAUCCAUGCAGCCACUGAUCGCAUGUUUCUGGUAAACACACAACUGGUCCAAGACAAGAGGAGCUGGAGUUGGCCACACCUCCAUAGAGGAAGUCCUUCCCGCCUUGUUUGGAGGAACACGGCUACACUCUAUGUGAAUCCCUCAGCUGAGUUAAAGUACUUAUUUUAACUCACAGAUAGCAAAGCAUUUGACACUUGGCCAGGAGGACACUGAGCAUCAGCUGUGUCUUGUCUCAGCUGUGUGCUGUGCCCUCCAGGGCCCUUUUUUCUCACAGCCAUUUGUGCCCCUAUGUGAGUCCACCCUUCUCAGUGUCUCUGGGACUUGGCCAUUAGCAGAAGUUACUUCUAGUUGAUCAGUAAAUUGUGAUGGUCAUUGUUAGAUGACCUGAGGUGACCCCUCAGGGCAUUUUCCAGAGUCUCCACAUACUUAGCCUCAUGUCUGUCACCCCAGCUUGAGGGGCCCUGGUCCUCCUUUCCCAGGACACGUGGACCCUCCCUCGUUAUGUCACCACACUUUUAUUUCCCUCUGUUCUGAACUAUGUUCCCUCCGUCCUUGGCCUUACAGACAGGCAGUGAGUUCACGAGUUCAAGCCCCACUGUCUCCAACUGCAGCUUAGACAGAAAGGAGACCAUGCUUUCUGGUCCCUCUGCCAGAUGGGAAGCCCUGAAUCCCUGGUUUCCUUCAUCUCCACGUCUCUCCUUAUGAAAUUCUGCCUAAGUCAGAAACACGUUGAUUCUGUCGAUGAAGGAAAGACUUCAAUCCAUGCAGCCACUGAUCGCAUGUUUCUGGUAAACACACAACUGGUCCAAGACAAGAGGAGCUGGAGUUGGCCACACCUCCAUAGAGGAAGUCCUUCCCGCCUUGUUUGGAGGAACACGGCUACACUCUAUGUGAAUCCCUCAGCUGAGUUAAAGUACUUACUAUAACCCAAAGAAAGAACAGCUCUGAUGAAAUCAAAACUUCACACUACAGAUCCCAUCUGUGUGGACAGAUUCCAAGAUGGCCCCAGUGAUGCCUGCCCACCUUCACUGGAGUUCACGCCCACACCAUCCACUUAUCUUGAGUGUGGGUGGGACCAAUGACAUAUGGCAGUAGUGAUUUCACUUUGUGAAUUGACUACACAGGAUUCUAACUUCCAUCUUGCUAGCAGAUGCUCUCUGUAGACUCUCCCGUGUGCUGUGAUCUGCCCUUCAGAGAACGCCCCACCGAUGAGGAGCUGAGGCAGCCUCAGGCCGACAGCCAGCAAAGAAUGGAGGACCCCAGUCCAUCUGCCCACCAGGAACUCAAGGCUGGCAAAAGCCAUGUGAGCUUGAAGUGGAUCCAUCCCUAGUCAAGUUUUCAGACGAGACUCUGACCCUGGCUGAUGCCUUGAUGACAGCUUCACAAGGAGCCUGAAGCAAAGACCUCAGCUAAGCUGUGCCUUGAUUCCUGACCCACAGAACCCAAGAGAUAGUACAUGUGUUGGUUUCAGCUUCUGCCUUUGUGGUAGUUUCUUAUGGAGCGACAGAGAACUCAUUUACCAUCUGAGCCCCAAAUAAAAGCCAAGACUGGUAAGCACAUUUAAAUUUUCCUUAUUAAGGGACAACUUUUCACACUGAGAAGUUUCUAGUUUAAAACGAUGCUAAUUCAAUAAGACAUUAUUUCCUCUCCUAGGUUUCUCUUUUAAACUUUAUUCCUUAAUUCCAUGUGCAAAGAAACCAUCAGAAGCUGGGACUUUUCUUCCUCUUCCUGAAUAGAAUGUAAGUGCUCAAAAUUUAAAACCUGCAAGUUCGGAGUUCAACCCCAUCCAACCCCAAACUGAAGACCUUUAAAAGCCUUAAAAAAAAAAAAAAAAACCUGGUAUUUCCAAAUGAACUCUCCUCCUGGCCCUGAAGUUCUCUGAAGUCUUUUAAGCUACAUAUUCACAUCUUCAGACACAUGAACCAGUUUUUAGCUUCCUGCAAAUAAUUUUUCUAUGUUAAAAGUUUCAGUUGUUAAUAGCUUCAAAAACAGCAAGCCAUUCUUACUUACAUCUGGAAGUCUGUACAGCUUCAUCGUUCUCUGCAAAGUCAUAUUUCUACUCAAGUGAGAAAAUUUCACUUCUACCAAUUUUCUGGGGUUUAGUGAUCGAUGCCAGUAUCUGAAAUACAAUACAGGCUUUAAGGUCUGAUUGAUUUCUAACUCUCCAAGUUUUACUCUCUGUCUCAGCUCAGCUGUUACAGAAGAACUGAACAAACAUCAUGUAGGGCCUGGUGCGGUGCAGGUCCUGGUCCUCUGCCUAUGUAAUUAUUUUAUCUGUCAUUUUACCUCGAAAUGAUGUUCCAGUUUUGCUCUUUUGACAUUGGUAACCUUCCGUCUCUUUUAAUAUAGAAAAAUCUUAAAAUUGCAGAAGAAAUAUUGACAAUGUCCAGUUUGUAAGUAUUGAAUGACCAUCACAGAUUCUAAGAAGGCAAACCAAAAACUUUAAAAGCAUGAAAAGACUCCUGAAGUUAGUAACCUUCACAUUUAUAUAAUGCACAUGGAAGAAAACUUUUGAGAAAUGAGUUUGAAUUUCUUAAAUGAUUCUGGCUUAGGUACUGGAAUGAAUGAUUACAGAUUAUAU
Molecule: long non-coding RNA, 4042 nt
Organism: Bos grunniens (domestic yak)
Lineage: Eukaryota; Metazoa; Chordata; Mammalia; Artiodactyla; Bovidae
Source: Ensembl